This 514-nucleotide ribosomal RNA is filed under the name uncultured bacterium. Its description in RNAcentral is "partial 16S ribosomal RNA". It matches the Rfam family "Bacterial small subunit ribosomal RNA", at positions 28 to 523 of the family's 1533-position model. The record is from RNAcentral.
GACGAACGCUGGCGGCGUGCCUAAUACAUGCAAGUCGAGCGGAUGAAAGAGGAGCUUGCUCCUCUAGAUUCAGCGGCGGACGGGUGAGUAACACGUGGGCAACCUGCCCUGUAGAUUGGGAUAACUCCGGGAAACCGGGGCUAAUACCGAAUAAUCCUUCGGACCUCAUGGUCCGAUGUUGAAAGACGGUUUCGGCUGUCACUUCAGGAUGGGCCCGCGGCGCAUUAGCUAGUUGGUGAGGUAACGGCUCACCAAGGCCACGAUGCGUAGCCGACCGGAGAGGGUGAUCGGCCACACUGGGACUGAGACACGGCCCAGACUCCUACGGGAGGCAGCAGUAGGGAAUCUUCCACAAUGGACGAAAGUCUGAUGGAGCAACGCCGCGUGAGUGAAGAAGGUUCUCGGAUCGUAAAACUCUGUUGUGAGGGAAGAACAAGUACCGGAGUAACUGCCGGUGCCUUGACGGUACCUCAUUAGAAAGCCACGGCUAACUACGUGCCAGCCGCCGCCGUAA